Molecule: unclassified non-coding RNA, 195 nt
Filed under: plant metagenome
Description: partial contains small subunit ribosomal RNA, internal transcribed spacer 1, and 5.8S ribosomal RNA
Source: RNAcentral
UCUCCGUUGGUGAACCAGCGGAGGGAUCAUUACCGAGUUAUCAACUCCCAAACCCCUGUGAACAUACCAUUUGUUGCCUCGGCGGUGCCUGCUUCGGCAGCCCGCCAGAGGACCCAAACCCUUGAUUUUAUACAGUAUCUUCUGAGUAAAUGAUUAAAUAAAUCAAAACUUUCAACAACGGAUCUCUUGGUUCUG